AUGGGCUCCUUGUUGUUGCCUGUUGCUGGUUGUUGCUGUACUGAAGAGGAGGAUGAGGAGCCUGUUGCUGGUUGCUGCUGUACUGAAGAGGAGGAUGAGGAGCUGCUGAAGAGGAGGGGAGGAGGAGCUGCUGGAGAGGAGCUGCUGCAUAGGAGGGAGCAAAUCUGCUGGAGGAGAGGAGCCAGAGAAGGAGGAGAUGCGUGUGGGUUGGGGGCUGUUUCUCUCUCUCUUUCCCCCCUCUUACCUGUUGGUGCUAACAACAUCUCUAUUUCCCACCAAGAUUGUUUCCCGCCUAAAACUGCUUUCCUUCCUGGCUGGCAGGCUCAAGGCGUCCAACAUGGACUAGGGCACCUACCUGGAUGCCUUAGCACCGCUUCAGACGCCUUAAAGCUUAAGGCAGACGCCUUACUCAGGUACCUAAGGCAAGCUGGACCCCUUGAGCUUGCGGGGUGCCCUGACGCCUAUGCGUCGUCUAGGCGACACCUUAUGGACACUUUAAAAACAAUGAGAACAUCUUAUAAUAGUGAAUGA
Molecule: ribosomal RNA, 531 nt
Filed under: Triticum aestivum (bread wheat)
Lineage: Eukaryota; Viridiplantae; Streptophyta; Magnoliopsida; Poales; Poaceae
Description: partial small subunit ribosomal RNA
Source: RNAcentral